CGGUGUUUAACUGGCGUGAUGUGGGACGUCCUACCGGUGGGCUUAGCCUCGCGAGGGGCGGCCCAACUAAUAUCCCGUCGCGGUGCUCUUUACUGAGUGUCGAGUCGGGCCGGUACGUUUACUUUGAACAAAUUAGAGUGCUUAAAGCAGGCUAUCCUCGCCUGAAUACUGCGUGCAUGGAAUAAUGGAAUAGGACCUCGGUUCUAUUUUGUUGGUUUUCGGAACCCCGAGGUAAUGAUUAAUAGGGACAGAUGGGGGCAUUCGUAUUGCGACGUUAGAGGUGAAAUUCUUGGAUCGUCGCAAGACGGACAGAAGCGAAAGCAUUUGCCAAAAAUGUUUUCAUUAAUCAAGAACGAAAGUUAGAGGUUCGAAGGCGAUCAGAUACCGCCCUAGUUCUAACCAUAAACGAUGCCAGCUAGCGAUCCGCCGAAGUUCCUCCGAUGACUCGGCGGGGCAGCUUCCGGGAAACCAAAGCUUUUGGGUUCCGGGGGAAGUAUGGUUGCAAAGCUGAAACUUAAAGGAAUUGACGGAAGGGCACCACCAGGAAUGGAGCCUGCGGCUUAAUUUGACUCAACACGGGAAACCUCACCAGGCCCAGACACCGGAAGGAUUGACAGAUUGAUAGCUCUUUCUUGAUUCGGUGGGUGGUGGUGCAUGGCCGUUCUUAGUUGGUGGAGCGAUUUGUCUGGUUAAUUCCGAUAACGAACGAGACUCUAGCCUGCUAAAUAGGCGUACCUUAUGGUAUCGCGAAGGCCCCCGGCUUCGGCCGGUGGGUUUUUACUACCAACGUACAAACAAAUCUUCUUAGAGGGACAGGCGG
Molecule: ribosomal RNA, 820 nt
Filed under: uncultured eukaryote
Lineage: Eukaryota
Description: SSU rRNA
Rfam family: Eukaryotic small subunit ribosomal RNA
Source: RNAcentral